UCGUAAACUUAAAUAGUCCUAGAACAAGACUAUUCGCCAGAGUACUAUCGGCAACAGCCCAAAACUCAAAGGACUUGGCGGUGCUUCAUAUCCUUCUAGAGGAGCCUGUUCUGUAAACGAUAAACCACGAUUAACCUCACCAAUCCUUGCUACUUCAGUCUAUAUACCGCCAUCUUCAGCAAACCCUAAAAAAGGAAUGAAAGUAAGCACAACYAUUGCACGUAAAAACGUUAGGUCAAGGUGUAACCUAUGGAUUGGGAAGAAAUGGGCUACAUUUUCUACAAUAAGAACACCCCYUAAACUUAYACGAAAGUUUUUAUGAAAUCUAAAAACUAAAGGAGGAUUUAGCAGUAAAUUAAGAAUAGAAUGCUUAAUUGAAUAAGGCCA
RNAcentral lists this ribosomal RNA (387 nucleotides) under Globicephala melas (long-finned pilot whale). Its description in RNAcentral is "partial 12S ribosomal RNA". It matches the Rfam family "Bacterial small subunit ribosomal RNA", at positions 800 to 1374 of the family's 1533-position model. Lineage: Eukaryota; Metazoa; Chordata; Mammalia; Artiodactyla; Delphinidae. The record is from RNAcentral.